CCUACGGGGGGCAGCAGUGGGGAAUAUUGGACAAUGGGGGCAACCCUGAUCCAGCCAUGCCGCGUGUGUGAAGAAGGCCCUCGGGUUGUAAAGCACUUUCAGUGAGGAAGAACGCCUGGUGGUUAAUACCCAUCAGGAAAGACAUCACUCACAGAAGAAGCACCGGCUAACUCCGUGCCAGCAGCCGCGGUAAUACGGAGGGUGCGAGCGUUAAUCGGAAUUACUGGGCGUAAAGCGCGCGUAGGUGGCUUGAUAAGCCGGUUGUGAAAGCCCCGGGCUCAACCUGGGAACGGCAUCCGGAACUGUCAAGCUAGAGUGCAGGAGAGGAAGGUGGAAUUCCCGGUGUAGCGGUGAAAUGCGUAGAGAUCGGGAGGAAUACCAGUGGCGAAGGCGGCCUUCUGGACUGACACUGACACUGAGGUGCGAAAGCGUGGGUAGCAAACAGGAUUAGAUACCCUUGUAGUC
This 465-nucleotide ribosomal RNA is filed under the name Vreelandella stevensii. RNAcentral's name for it is "partial 16S ribosomal RNA". It matches the Rfam family "Bacterial small subunit ribosomal RNA", at positions 338 to 795 of the family's 1533-position model. Lineage: Bacteria; Pseudomonadati; Pseudomonadota; Gammaproteobacteria; Oceanospirillales; Halomonadaceae. The record is from RNAcentral.